Molecule: transfer RNA, 64 nt
Filed under: Rhaetus westwoodii
Lineage: Eukaryota; Metazoa; Arthropoda; Insecta; Coleoptera; Lucanidae
Description: tRNA-Phe
Source: RNAcentral
ACUUAAAUAGCUUAAAAAGAGCAUGAUAUUGAAGAUAUCUAGGUGAUUACUUGAUCUUUAAGUA